UGGGGAAUAUUGCGCAAUGGGCGAAAGCCUGUCGCAGCGACGCCGCGUGAGGGAUGACGGCCUUCGGGUUGUAAACCUCUUUCAGCAGGGACGAAGCGCGAGUGACGGUACCUGCAGAAUAAGCACCGGCUAACU
This 135-nucleotide ribosomal RNA is filed under the name uncultured bacterium. RNAcentral's name for it is "partial 16S ribosomal RNA". It matches the Rfam family "Bacterial small subunit ribosomal RNA", at positions 355 to 502 of the family's 1533-position model. The record is from RNAcentral.